Macaca mulatta (Rhesus monkey) is the source of this 3005-nucleotide non-coding RNA. The record is from RefSeq and is a predicted model, not a curated record. Lineage: Eukaryota; Metazoa; Chordata; Mammalia; Primates; Cercopithecidae.
CUCCCCAGCUGCUGGUAUUACAGGCGUGAGCCACCACACAUGGCCUAAAUAGCUUUGUUUUUAAAUCACCGACAGCCCCUUUUAGCAUCUCCUGCCAUUGGGCUACUUUGUGCUUUCCCUGGUAGAAGUGACUGUGCCACCAAUUAUCUGUGUGGCCUUGACUAAAUCAUUCUCGGUCUGACUUUCUUCAUAUCUUUGCAGUAUAGUUGGAUUAAAUAGUCCCCUUUAAAUAUUUUUAAAAUGUGCCCAUGCUAUAAAAUUCACUCUUUAGUCUUUCAAGAUUGUACAUCUGAAUAUCACUAAUAUUACUCAUCUGUUAUGCUGUUCCAUCUCUUGAGAUACUGUAUCAGUAAAUAUGAUGGUGAACACUAUAAAGAUUACUUUUCAAAUUUCUAUUAAGAUAGGCCUAUAACUGAAGAACUAAACAUUUCUGAAUAAAUAAUAACAAUGUAGCCAAUAACGUUUUCUACAUAUUUUGGUCUUGCAAUCAAUGUGAGGAAUGCACAUUUGGAUCUGGAUUCUCAGAGUAAUUUACUUCCUCUUACAAGUCUACCAUUGCUAGUUUAAAUGCUAAUGGCUGAGAUAUACAAGCCAAGGGGUUUGUGGUGUGAAUGCAGGGCUUGACUGAUCACCAGACUCCCUUCCCAACCUCUCAUCUGAAGAAGGAGAAAGUUCUUGAAAAAGCUCAAAAAUGCAUUUUGGCAAGCUCAAGAGAUGCAGUUUAGCAGCAUGAAUUAAGAGACUUGUGACUGUGGAAAAGAACAGUACAUUUUAAAUGGCUUUGGCCCUUCUUAGCUUUUGACCAGCUGACCUUGACAUUCCUUAGAGGCCAAAGGAUGAGAUGCAGUGAAGACAGUGCUGCCUAGCCAUUUCCCCUCAGGAGGCAGAACCAGUCCUUCCAGCUGCAGAUGAAGUCUAUCCAGUGUGUCUUGGGGAGAACUGUAAUAAAUGAGGUUCCCUCCCUGAGAAAUGACUAAAACCACAAAAAUAAUUUCUUAGAUGAAACAGCUCAAUUAUCUAAUGUAAUUACUCCUAAGGAAAAAAUGAGAGAAAUUUAUCAUAGUUACAUGAAGUUUCCAAUGUGGUUAUAUAUGACUGUGUAUAGUCCACAGUUAUUCAUCUGGCGUUCUAUCAAACAGAGUUUUCUAUAAUAUGGUAUCUGUGACUGUUUCCAAUACAAUAAAAAUGCUGUAAAAUCUUGAAAUGCUUUUCAAAAGAAUACUUUAUAGAAUAGCAUGUACAGCUGUAGUAUUGAGCUUAUUUUGCUGUACUUUAUUAAUCUUUUCCAAAACAUGUAAAUAAUGAAGUUUGUUGCACACCACAUCUGGAUUUCAUGAUUAUUCUGUAAGACUUAUACAAUAGAUGGCCCUUCAUUUAGGGAAGUAGUAUAUACACCAGAAUGUACCUUUUCUUUUUAAGAUUUAAAACAAUGGAAAAAGCCACUGAAGUAUAUAUAGUAUCUGUGUGCCGAGAUACACAGGAAAGCAUGGAUCGUGUGGAUGGAAGGAACCAGGAUCAUCUCAUCCAGCUGAGUAAUAAGUACGUUUGGUGCAGUGCCACACAGGAGGCCAGCAGCAGAGCCCGGAGUAGUAACUGGGUUUCUUCACUCUUAGCCUCUCAAGUGGUGAGACCAAGGCAUGAUCUUAUCUCUUGAUUGUGGCCACCAGUAAAGAACAGCAUAUCUCUAAUCUCAGAAGCACAAGGAGUUCAUACAGGAAACCAAGAUUAGAGCAUCAUGCUAUCAUCUUUCAAAAUUACUAUGCAGGAUCGGUGGAACACUGGGCACUGAUGGAGUGGGCCCUGCAUCCUUCACUGCUUCCUCAUGGAGGGAUCUCCAGGAAGGGGGCCCUCUUUGCCUGUCUCCUCCCUUUGUGGCGAAUAUGGGUGGGGGAUGGAUCUGGGCAUGCUCAGAUCAGCCCCUCCCUUGCUCUUCUCUCUUUGGAUCUUGCUUGCAAUCAGAGGGCUUUUUCUUCCUGUUUUUUGGAGGGUGGGAUCUGCGUGGAGCUGUUCAAUGCUGCCUGUGACUGGGUGUUAGUAUGCUUAGCUCACGGUGAAGAAUAAGACAGCUCAUGAGGCCCAGCAGUACAUCCCUUUUCUCCUCUGAGUUCUCCCCAGUACAAAUCUGGUGCUUGGAUCUCUUUCUGACUCCUCAGUUUAUCUGUCAAAUGGUUCCAAACUUGAGUAGGGAGAGAGGAUCAUCCCCUGUCAAAUGUACACUAUUCAUGCACUUUCAUGGCGUAAAAGAACCCUAGACACGUGGGCUCCCUUGCUAAUUGCACCUUCAAAGCAAUAGUCAUUAUUUAGCAUUUAUCGGAAGAGGCUGGCCCCAGCUCUGGUGAAGGGCAGAGAAGGUGUGGGUGGCCUCACACGUUCUCAAUGUCACAAAAUGAUAGCAUUAAACAGACCCACUCCCUCAUGGAAGGCAAUGUGACGACCUUCUAUUGAUAUUGCAACAUGUGUCUCUGGCAGCAGGAUCUCAGUCCUUACGUAAGGGAUAUGGGAUGAUUUCCUCCACUUCAUGUAUAUGCUCUCCCUAAGCAGAUCUGGCAGAUGCAAAUUUAUCCAUAUCUUUUCAUUACCAAUGAAGUUUUAGUAUCCACAUCCCGUCUUUGUAACCCUUUUUAUUUCAGCUGAUCUAAAUAAUUAGUUCAGAUUUACCCUGGCAAAUGGCUUUUACCAUUGUUAGUUUCUUACCUUAUAACAAAAUACUGCCAUCAAGUUUUGAUUACGAAAAUGGCUGAAGGCAAGGGACCAUAUGAGAGAGUGCAAUCAACAACACGGUCUUUUUGCCCAACAGAAUUUGACAUUUUUGGCUUAGAGAAUUAAAGCACAAUGACUGUUCCUGAAAAUCAGCACAGUAGUCAUAAUAAAACUUUUUUCUUGGCUGGGCACAGUGUUGCAUGCCUCUAAUCUCAGCAUUUUGGGAGGUUGAGGCGGGAGGAUCACUUGAGCCCAGAUCUUGAGACCAGCCUAGGCAACACAGUGAAACCUCGUCUACGCUAAAA